GAGUUUGAUCCUGGCUCAGGAUGAACGCUAGUGGCAGGCUUAAUACAUGCAAGUCGAGGGGCAGCAUGAUUGUAGCAAUACAAUUGAUGGCGACCGGCAAACGGGUGCGGAACACGUACACAACCUUCCAAUAAGUGGGGAAUAGCCCAGAGAAAUUUGGAUUAAUACCCCGUAACAUAGCGAUGUGGCAUCACAUUGCUAUUAUAGAUUUUUCGCUUAUUGAUGGGUGUGCGGCUGAUUAGAUAGUUGGCGGGGUAACGGCCCACCAAGUCUACGAUCAGUAGCUGAUGUGAGAGCAUGAUCAGCCACACGGGCACUGAGACACGGGCCCGACUCCUACGGGAGGCAGCAGUAAGGAAUAUUGGACAAUGGACGCAAGUCUGAUCCAGCCAUGCCGCGUGAAGGAUUAAGGUCCUCUGGAUUGUAAACUUCUUUUAUAAGGGACGAAAAAAGGCUUUUCUAAGUCGUCUGACGGUACCUUAUGAAUAAGCACCGGCUAACUCCGUGCCAGCAGCCGCGGUAAUACGGAGGGUGCAAGCGUUAUCCGGAUUCACUGGGUUUAAAGGGUGCGUAGGCGGGCAGGUAAGUCAGUGGUGAAAUCCUAGAGCUUAACUCUAGAACUGCCAUUGAUACUAUCUGUCUUGAAUAUUGUGGAGGUAAGCGGAAUAUGUCAUGUAGCGGUGAAAUGCUUAGAUAUGACAUAGAACACCUAUUGCGAA
RNAcentral lists this ribosomal RNA (719 nucleotides) under bacterium enrichment culture clone B70. Its description in RNAcentral is "bacterial SSU rRNA". It matches the Rfam family "Bacterial small subunit ribosomal RNA", at positions 9 to 719 of the family's 1533-position model. The record is from RNAcentral.